AUACUGAGGGUGCAAGCGUUAAUCGGAAUUACUGGGCGUAAAGCGCGCGUAGGCGGUUUAUCAAGUCAGAUGUGAAAGCCCUGGGCUUAACCUGGGAACUGCAUUUGAAACUGAUAAACUAGAGUUUGGUAGAGGGUGACGGAAUUCCAGGUGUAGCGGUGAAAUGCGUAGAUAUCUGGAGGAACAUCAGUGGCGAAGGCGGUUGCCUGGACCAAAACUGACGCUGAGGUGCGAAAGCGUGGGGAGCAAACAGGAUUAGAAACCCCUGUAGUCC
RNAcentral lists this ribosomal RNA (274 nucleotides) under uncultured bacterium. RNAcentral describes it as "partial 16S ribosomal RNA". It matches the Rfam family "Bacterial small subunit ribosomal RNA", at positions 523 to 796 of the family's 1533-position model. The record is from RNAcentral.